Molecule: ribosomal RNA, 253 nt
Filed under: uncultured bacterium
Lineage: Bacteria
Description: partial 16S ribosomal RNA
Rfam family: Bacterial small subunit ribosomal RNA
Source: RNAcentral
UACGUAGGGGGCAAGCGUUGUCCGGAAUCAUUGGGCGUAAAGAGCGCGUAGGCGGCCCGGUAAGUCCGCUGUGAAAGUCAAGGGCUCAACCCUUGAAUGCCGGUGGAUACUGUCGGGCUAGAGUCCGGAAGAGGCGAGUGGAAUUCCUGGUGUAGCGGUGAAAUGCGCAGAUAUCAGGAGGAACACCGGUGGCGAAGGCGGGUCUCUGGGCCGAUACUGACGCUGAGGAGCGAAAGCGUGGGGAGCGAACAGG